This 497-nucleotide ribosomal RNA is filed under the name uncultured bacterium. RNAcentral describes it as "partial 16S ribosomal RNA". It matches the Rfam family "Bacterial small subunit ribosomal RNA", at positions 28 to 507 of the family's 1533-position model. The record is from RNAcentral.
GAUGAACGCUGGCGGCGUGCCUAAUACAUGCAAGUCGAGCGAACAGAUGAGGAGCUUGCUCCUCUGACGUUAGCGGCGGACGGGUGAGUAACACGUGGAUAACCUACCUAUAAGACUGGGAUAACUUCGGGAAACCGGAGCUAAUACCGGAUAAUAUAUUGAACCGCAUGGUUCAAUAGUGAAAGACGGUUUUGCUGUCACUUAUAGAUGGAUCCGCGCCGCAUUAGCUAGUUGGUAAGGUAACGGCUUACCAAGGCAACGAUGCGUAGCCGACCUGAGAGGGUGAUCGGCCACACUGGAACUGAGACACGGUCCAGACUCCUACGGGAGGCAGCAGUAGGGAAUAUUCGGCAAUGGGCGAAAGCCUGACGGAGCAACGCCGCGUGAGUGAUGAAGGUCUUCGGAUCGUAAAACUCUGUUAUUAGGGAAGAACAAAUGUGUAAGUAACUAUGCACGUCUUGACGGUACCUAAUCAGAAAGCCACGGCUAACUACGUG